RNAcentral lists this ribosomal RNA (836 nucleotides) under uncultured bacterium. RNAcentral's name for it is "bacterial SSU rRNA". It matches the Rfam family "Bacterial small subunit ribosomal RNA", at positions 44 to 859 of the family's 1533-position model. The record is from RNAcentral.
UUGCUUAACGCAUGCAAGUCGAACGAGAAGAGAUGAUUAAGCUUGCUUCUUAUCGAUUCGAGUGGCAAACGGGUGAGUAACGCGUAAGCAACCUGCCCUCUAGAUGGGGACAACAGCUGGAAACGGCUGCUAAUACCGAAUACGUUCUUUCUGUCGCAUGGCAGAGAGAAGAAAGGGAGGCUCUUCGGAGCUUUCGCUGGAGGAGGGGCUUGCGUCUGAUUAGCUAGUUGGAGGGGUAACGGCCCACCAAGGCGACGAUCAGUAGCCGGUCUGAGAGGAUGAACGGCCACAUUGGGACUGAGACACGGCCCAGACUCCUACGGGAGGCAGCAGUGGGGAAUCUUCCGCAAUGGACGAAAGUCUGACGGAGCAACGCCGCGUGAACGAUGACGGCCUUCGGGUUGUAAAGUUCUGUUAUACGGGACGAAUGGUACGACGGUCAAUACCCGUCGUAAGUGACGGUACCGUAAGAGAAAGCCACGGCUAACUACGUGCCAGCAGCCGCGGUAAUACGUAGGUGGCAAGCGUUGUCCGGAAUUAUUGGGCGUAAAGGGCGCGCAGGCGGCGUCGUAAGUCGGUCUUAAAAGUGCGGGGCUUAACCCCGUGAGGGGACCGAAACUGCGAUGCUAGAGUAUCGGAGAGGAAAGCGGAAUUCCUAGUGUAGCGGUGAAAUGCGUAGAUAUUAGGAGGAACACCAGUGGCGAAAGCGGCUUUCUGGACGACAACUGACGCUGAGGCGCGAAAGCCAGGGGAGCAAACGGGAUUAGAUACCCCGGUAGUCUUGGCCGUAAACGAUGGUUUCUAGGCGGAAGAGGUUUAGACCCGGGAAUCGUUUU